AUGGGGAUCGCACAGGCUGCCGCCCCGCUGCGCCUGCAUCUCGGAUGCUCCGGCGCGGCGCCCCCGCGGCCCACCUCCCUCAGGGUCGGGUUCGGGUUCGGAUCCCAUGCGAGGAGGAAGGGCGGGAGGAGGCGGAGCCCUCCCCGCGCCGCCAGCUCGCUGCAUCCCAGCAGCAACACGAGAGCGCACGACCAUGACCCCGUCCUCAAGCCUCCCGCUCCCGCCGGCGAUGUCGCCGGGAGGGACUUGAACGGCGCCGCCGACCACGCGCCGCAGCAGAGGCGGCGCGCGGCGAGCGACCUGGAGGAGGAGGCGUGGGCGCUGCUCCGGGAGUCGGUGGUGAGCUACUGCGGCAGCCCCGUGGGCACCAUCGCCGCCUGCGACCCCAACGACUCCAGCCCGCUCAACUACGACCAGGUCUUCAUCCGGGACUUCGUGCCCUCGGGCAUCGCCUUCCUGCUCAAGGGGGAGUACGACAUCGUCCGCAACUUCAUCCUGCACACGCUCCAGCUCCAGAGCUGGGAGAAAACCAUGGACUGCCACAGUCCAGGGCAAGGCUUGAUGCCAGCUAGUUUCAAGGUGCGUGUCGUUCCGCUUGAAGGUGAUGAAGAGGGCGCAACUGAGGAAGUCCUCGAUCCUGAUUUUGGGGAGGCUGCUAUAGGCCGUGUGGCACCAGUUGAUUCAGGUCUAUGGUGGAUCAUAUUACUGAGGGCAUACGGAAAAUGUUCAGGAGAUCUUUCAUUUCAUGAGAGAAUCGAUGUCCAGACUGGAAUAAAAUUGAUCUUGAAGCUCUGCUUAGCUGAUGGGUUUGACAUGUUCCCCACAUUGCUAGUCACUGAUGGAUCCUGCAUGAUGGAUCGUCGAAUGGGUAUCCAUGGACACCCACUGGAGAUUCAGUCACUGUUCUAUUCAGCCCUCUUGUGUGCACGUGAGAUGCUUACCCCAGAAGAUGGAUCUGCUGACUUGAUCCGUGCCCUAAAUAACAGGCUUAUGGCGCUCUCUUUUCAUAUUAGGGAAUAUUACUGGCUUGACAAGAGAAAGCUAAAUGAGAUAUAUCGAUACAAAACAGAAGAAUAUUCUUAUGAUGCUGUCAACAAGUUUAACAUAUAUCCUGAUCAGAUUCCCCCCUGGCUAGUUGAAUGGAUCCCUCCGGAAGGGGGUUACUUAAUUGGAAACCUGCAACCAGCUCACAUGGAUUUCCGAUUCUUUUCUCUGGGGAACUUGUGGUCUAUAGUAAGCAGUUUGGCAACAACCCGUCAAUCCCAUGCUAUUCUGGAUCUAGUUGAAGCCAAAUGGUCUGAUCUAGUGGCAGAAAUGCCAUUGAAGAUAUGUUAUCCUGCUCUCGAGGAUCAAGAGUGGAAAUACAUUACAGGGAGUGACCCUAAAAACACGCCUUGGUCAUACCAUAAUGCAGGUUCCUGGCCAACAUUGUUGUGGCAGCUCACGGUGGCAUGUAUCAAGAUGAACCGGCCUGAGAUUGCAGCAAGAGCCGUGGAGGUGGCUGAGAGGCGUAUUUCCGUGGAUAAAUGGCCUGAAUACUACGAUCUAAGCGUGGGCGGUUCAUCGGCAAACAAGCUCGACUAUUCCAAACGUGGUCCAUUGCGGGCUUCCUUGUGGCCAAGCUGCUGCUCGAAAACCCUGAAAAGUCUAGAAUACUUUGUAACAACGAAGACGAGGAAUUUGCUAAUGCUUUUAAUCUCAUGGCUGAUUCAUGCAGCCCGAACAGGAAGCGUGGCAGGAAAGCCCCGAAGAAGACCUACAUUGUGUAAGUCUAACAGCAGCUCCAAUGUUAGGGGGGUUCUUAGAUGUAGCGGUGUAGUUUUUUGUGCGAAUCGCACAUAUACCUCCAGGAUUUGUACAUAUUACAGUGAACUUGUCUAG
RNAcentral lists this ribosomal RNA (1881 nucleotides) under Triticum aestivum (bread wheat). Its description in RNAcentral is "partial small subunit ribosomal RNA". The record is from RNAcentral. Lineage: Eukaryota; Viridiplantae; Streptophyta; Magnoliopsida; Poales; Poaceae.